Non-coding RNA from Salvelinus sp. IW2-2015, 2277 nucleotides. NCBI's taxonomy places the organism in Eukaryota, Metazoa, Chordata, Actinopteri, Salmoniformes, Salmonidae. The record is from RefSeq and is a predicted model, not a curated record.
CUAGCUCGUGAGAUCUGGCUAUGUCGAUAGCUUUGUCCAGCGUUAGCUCAGACCCAACAUUCAAAAGUUUCUCUUUCACUCGCGAUCCAGAGGAGCAGGUAGCUGCAUUUUUCCUCUUCUCUUUCCUUCAGAGGACCCGUGAACAUUAGCUCCACAUGCUGUUUGUACUUACGCCAUCCAUCGGCGUUUCAAGAGGCACCUGUCCUUCCCCUGGCAUUCCUCAUUCACACCACCCAGCACAUGGAAAACCACAAACAGUUAUUUCGCACCAUCCUUUCACUCCUUCCCCAACUAUCAACAGCAACCUUCUGCACAGACGGUGAGGCGGCUAUUGAGGGAGCAAUCCAGUCUGUGCUGCCGCAAGCCAGGAUUGUCAAUUGCUGGAACCACAUCCCGAACAAUGUGAAGCACAAGAUGGGAUCAGAGGGUUCCCAAGCUGUGGCUGAUUACCAGCAGGCCAUCAAAGAGCUCUUGGCCUUGAAAUCAAGGAGCGACUACGAAUGCACACUGGAGAGUGUGUGUCCACUGGAGUCCUGAUCUCGAGGCUUACUUCCAUCAGUCGCUGUCCGACGCCAUGGACAAGAGCGCACAAUAUGUGCUAAACAGCUUGGGCAUCCAGUCAGACUGAAUUACCAACAACUGCUUAGAGAGCUUCAAUGCUGUCCUCAAGGCAUUGGUUGGAUGGAAGGUGAGAGUAAAUAAAUUGGUGUAUCUACUCUACCAACUCCAAACCAAUGCCUUGAGGGAAGUGCUGCGUGGCUACUGUAACCUAGGGAAUUUCCACCUGACCCCUGAUUGCCAUGAGCAAUUUUCCAGGCGAACGCCCACCACCAGUUUCCCCUACCACAUGUCGGAAGACAACAUGGUGUCCUUUGCUGAAGGCAUCCAGUCCUGUGUGGCACAGGAAAAGGUUGACAUGGCAGAAACUGGAGCGGAGGCCUUGGUCAAGAUGAUUGUUGCAAAAGGACGAAUCCUCCUGGUGCCAAGCACCCAAUCAUUCCUCUACCAGAGCUUCUCAGACAAGCAGCACGUUGUUACUCUGUUGUCAAUGGAGACGUGCUCCUGCUCUGCAUCGGACAGUAACCAGAGGUGUGUCCACAGACUGGCAGCUGUACUGGCCAUUGGCGGAAGUGUGGACAGUCCUAUGCCAAUAAAGCUGAGGACAAGGCAUCUGGGCGCAAAACGCUCUGGCCAUAAGUGUGCCACCAAGGAGCAUGUCCAGACGGCCGCUAAACGCCAGGAAGAACAAUCAACCGUUGAUCAACAGGGUGACCAAUUCCAACAGUCUCUGUCUGAGAAACACCCCAGCAGGGAUGACGAAUUGGAGAAUAGAUUUCUUCACCUAUACAAUGGUAUGGCGUGCACUGGGCAACCGCAAGGAUUUUGUUGAAGGGAUUUGUUGCCAUUCUGUACCUCCAUGACUUCCUAACGUUGAAGCCCAAUGAGUGGCUUAGUGGGGAGGUAAUGGACUUCUACCUCCAACUGAAGAGGAUUGACCUUCAAGUGGAGAGGGAUGUUUUUAUUGUGAUUCACCUUCUGGCAGGGAGUAUCCUGCAUGGGGAUAAGGUGGUGAUGCACAAGAACACCUUGUCAAAGAUGGCCAGAGUUAAUGCAGUGGGAGAAGGCACUAAGUGACCCAACUGUCCCAAUGCAUGUUAACAUCGGUGUGGCCAGAAUGGAGGUGGCGAAAGAGAUCCUGGACAAAGGAUCCCGGAUAGCACGGAACCUCUGGGAAAUCCUAUGAACUCCUCUACACGAUUGAAGGUCAAGGACACAACUCCUAUUGGUUCUGACAUACUGAGAACUUGUAACAACACUGUCUGUGAUUGGCUAACAAUGUUUAGAUCUGUAUACAGUGAGAUAAGAUAAUGUACCAUCCCAUGAGGUGUUGAGGGAAAGCAAGAUUACCUAUCAAAUCACAUUUUAUUUGUCACAUACACGUGUUUAGCAGAUGUUAUUGUGAGUGUAGCGAAAUGCUUGUGCUUCUAUUUUGACAGUGUAGCAAUAUCUAACAAUUUCACAACAAAUACCUAAUACCCACAAAUCUUAUUAACAUGCAGGCAUCCCACAGACGUUUGUAAAGCGUUGAUAUCACGUCAUGUCAGUCAAAUGUUCAAUGGUAGGCGACAGCCACACGGUGGUACUGUUGCUUAGGCUUAAUUUUGGCCUGAAUCACUCCCCAUAGCGCUCGCACAACAGGUUUUGCAUUUGUAUUUAUUAUGGAUCCCCAUUAGGCAGCAGCUGCUCUUCCAGGGGUCCAGCAAAAUUAAGGCAGUU